GAUGAACGCUGGCGGCGUGCCUAAUACAUGCAAGUCGAGCGAACAGACGAGGAGCUUGCUCCUCUGACGUUAGCGGCGGACGGGUGAGUAACACGUGGAUAACCUACCUAUAAGACUGGGAUAACUUCGUGAAACCGGAGCUAAUACCGGAUAAUAUAUUGAACCGCAUGGUUCAAUAGUGAAAGACGGUUUUGCUGUCACUUAUAGAUGGAUCCGCGCCGCAUUAGCUAGUUGGUAAGGUAACGGCUUACCAAGGCAACGAUGCGUAGCCGACCUGAGAGGGUGAUCGGCCACACUGGAACUGAGACACGGUCCAGACUCCUACGGGAGGCAGCAGUAGGGAAUCUUCCGCAAUGGGCGAAAGCUUGACGGAGCAACGCCGCGUGAGUGAUGAAGGUCUUCGGAUCGUAAAACUCUGUUAUUAGGGAAGAACAAAUGUGUAAGUAACUAUGCACGUAUUGACGGUACCUAAUCAGAAAGCCACGGCUAACUCCGUG
This 497-nucleotide ribosomal RNA is filed under the name uncultured bacterium. RNAcentral describes it as "partial 16S ribosomal RNA". It matches the Rfam family "Bacterial small subunit ribosomal RNA", at positions 28 to 507 of the family's 1533-position model. The record is from RNAcentral.